RNAcentral lists this ribosomal RNA (484 nucleotides) under uncultured bacterium. RNAcentral describes it as "partial 16S ribosomal RNA". It matches the Rfam family "Bacterial small subunit ribosomal RNA", at positions 30 to 507 of the family's 1533-position model. The record is from RNAcentral.
AUUGAACGCUGGCGGCAGGCCUAACACAUGCAAGUCGAGCGGAUGAAGGGAGCUUGCUCCUGGAUUCAGCGGCGGACGGGUGAGUAAUGCCUAGGAAUCUGCCUGGUCGUGGUGGAUAACGUCCGGAAACGGGCGCUAAUACCGCAUACUUCUUGAGGGAGAAAGUGGGGGAUCUUCGGACCUCACGCUAUCAGCUGAGCCUAGGUCGGAUUAGCUAGUUGGUGGGGUAAAGGCCUACCAAGGCGACGAUCCGUAACUGGUCUGAGAGGAUGAUCAGUCACACUGGAACUGAGACACGGUCCAGACUCCUACGGGAGGCAGCAGUGGGGAAUAUUGGACAAUGGGAGAAAGCCUGAUCCAGCCAUGCAGCGUGUGUGAAGAAGGUAUUCGGAUUGUAAAGCACUUUAAGUUGGGAGGUAGGGCAGUAAGUUAAUAACUUGCUGUUUUGACGGUACCAACAGAAUAAGCACCGGCUAACUUCGUG